Molecule: transfer RNA, 81 nt
Organism: Aspergillus clavatus NRRL 1
Lineage: Eukaryota; Fungi; Ascomycota; Eurotiomycetes; Eurotiales; Aspergillaceae
Rfam family: tRNA
About the family: Transfer RNA (tRNA) molecules are approximately 80 nucleotides in length. Their secondary structure includes four short double-helical elements and three loops (D, anti-codon, and T loops). Further hydrogen bonds mediate the characteristic L-shaped molecular structure. tRNAs have two regions of fundamental functional importance: the anti-codon, which is responsible for specific mRNA codon recognition, and the 3' end, to which the tRNAs corresponding amino acid is attached (by aminoacyl-tRNA synthetases). tRNAs cope with the degeneracy of the genetic code in two manners: having more than one tRNA (with a specific anti-codon) for a particular amino acid; and 'wobble' base-pairing, i.e. permitting non-standard base-pairing at the 3rd anti-codon position.
Source: Rfam
GCGUUAGUGGUGUAGCGGUAACAUACUUGCCUUCCAUGUUUGAGCAAGCAAGUGCUCGGGGUUCGACUCCCCGCUGACGCA